ACCCACAAACAGAAUUUUAGUUCAACUUUAAAUUUACCUAAAAAAAACGAAAUUUCAAUGUAAAUUUAAAAUAUAAUCUAAAAAGGUACAGCUUUUUAGAGCAAGGACACAACCUUUAUUAGAGAGUAAAUAUUAACAUAACCAUAGUUGGCCUAAAAGCAGCCAUCAAUUGAGAAAGCGUUCAAGCUCAACAAACAAUGCAACUUAAUCCCAACCGUAUUGCAUCAACUCCUAAUUCACCUCCUGGGUUAUUCUAUUUAAGUAUAGAAGCAAUAAUGCUAGUAUGAGUAACAAGAAUUAUUUCUCCCCGCAUAAGCUUAUAUCAGAAACGGAUAGACCACUGAUAGUUAACAACCUGAUAAAACCAACCCAAAAAUAAAACACUUAUCUACCCCAUUGUUAACCCAACACAGGUAUGCACUCAAGGAAAGAUUAAAAGAAGUAAAAGGAACUCGGCAAACAUAAACCCCGCCUGUUUACCAAAAACAUCACCUCCAGCAUUACCAGUAUUGGAGGCACUGCCUGCCCAGUGACAUCCGUUAAACGGCCGCGGUAUCCUGACCGUGCAAAGGUAGCAUAAUCAUUUGUUCUCUAAAUAGGGACUUGUAUGAAUGGCCACACGAGGGUUUAACUGUCUCUUACUUCCAAUCAGUGAAAUUGACCUUCCCGUGAAGAGGCGGGAAUACUAUAAUAAGACGAGAAGACCCUAUGGAGCUUUAAUUAAUUAGCCCAAACUUAUGAACUUCAAACCCCACUGGGAAUAACAUACUACCAUUGUUAUGGGCUAACAAUUUAGGUUGGGGUGACCUCGGAAUAUAAAAAAACUCCCGAGUGAUUAAAAUUUAGACCUACCAGUCAAAAUGUACCAUCACUUAUUGAUCCAAUAAUCUUUGAUCAACGAAACAAGUUACCCUAGGGAUAACAGCGCAAUCCUAUUUAAGAGUCCAUAUCGACAAUAGGGUUUACGACCUCGAUGUUGGAUCAGGACAUCCUAAUGGUGCAGCAGCUAUUAAGGGUUCGUUUGUUCAACGAUUAAAG
RNAcentral lists this ribosomal RNA (1038 nucleotides) under Vulpes vulpes (red fox). RNAcentral describes it as "partial 16S ribosomal RNA". It matches the Rfam family "Bacterial large subunit ribosomal RNA", at positions 930 to 2593 of the family's 2925-position model. Lineage: Eukaryota; Metazoa; Chordata; Mammalia; Carnivora; Canidae. The record is from RNAcentral.